UGGGCAACCUGCCCUGUACUGGGGAAUAAUCAUUGGAAACGAUGACUAAUACCGCAUGUGAUCCUCGGAAGGCAUCUUCUGAGGAAGAAAGGAUUUAUUCGGUACAGGAUGGGCCCGCAUCUGAUUAGCUAGUUGGUGAGAUAACAGCCCACCAAGGCGACGAUCAGUAGCCGACCUGAGAGGGUGAUCGGCCACAUUGGGACUGAGACACGGCCCAA
This 218-nucleotide ribosomal RNA is filed under the name uncultured bacterium. RNAcentral describes it as "partial 16S ribosomal RNA". It matches the Rfam family "Bacterial small subunit ribosomal RNA", at positions 118 to 334 of the family's 1533-position model. The record is from RNAcentral.